GACGAACGCUGGCGGCGUGCCUAAUACAUGCAAGUAGAACGCUGAAGGAGGAGCUUGCUUCUCUGGAUGAGUUGCGAACGGGUGAGUAACGCGUAGGUAACCUGCCUGGUAGCGGGGGAUAACUAUUGGAAACGAUAGCUAAUACCGCAUAAGAGUAGAUGUUGCAUGACAUUUGCUUAAAAGGUGCAAUUGCCUCACUACCAGAUGGACCUGCGUUGUAUUAGCGAGUUGGUGGGGUAACGGCUCACCAAGGCGACGAUACAUAGCCGACCUGAGAGGGUGAUCGGCCACACUGGGAAUGAGACACGGCCCAGACUCCCACGGGAGGCAGCAGUAGGGAAUCUUCGGCAAUGGACGGAAGUCUGACCGAGCAACGCCGCGUGAGGGAAGAAGGGUUUCGGAUCGUAAAGCUCUGUUGUAAGAGAAGAACGAGUGUGAGAGUGGAAAGUUCACACUGUGACGGUAUCUUACCAGAAAGGGACGGCUAACUACGUG
RNAcentral lists this ribosomal RNA (495 nucleotides) under uncultured bacterium. Its description in RNAcentral is "partial 16S ribosomal RNA". It matches the Rfam family "Bacterial small subunit ribosomal RNA", at positions 28 to 507 of the family's 1533-position model. The record is from RNAcentral.